Molecule: ribosomal RNA, 720 nt
Filed under: Bacillus sp. 711(2011)
Lineage: Bacteria; Bacillati; Bacillota; Bacilli; Caryophanales; Bacillaceae
Description: bacterial SSU rRNA
Rfam family: Bacterial small subunit ribosomal RNA
Source: RNAcentral
GUGCUAUACAUGCAAGUCGAGCGAACUGAUUAGAAGCUUGCUUCUAUGACGUUAGCGGCGGACGGGUGAGUAACACGUGGGCAACCUGCCUGUAAGACUGGGAUAACUUCGGGAAACCGAAGCUAAUACCGGAUAGGAUCUUCUCCUUCAUGGGAGAUGAUUGAAAGAUGGUUUCGGCUAUCACUUACAGAUGGGCCCGCGGUGCAUUAGCUAGUUGGUGAGGUAACGGCUCACCAAGGCAACGAUGCAUAGCCGACCUGAGAGGGUGAUCGGCCACACUGGGACUGAGACACGGCCCAGACUCCUACGGGAGGCAGCAGUAGGGAAUCUUCCGCAAUGGACGAAAGUCUGACGGAGCAACGCCGCGUGAGUGAUGAAGGCUUUCGGGUCGUAAAACUCUGUUGUUAGGGAAGAACAAGUACGAGAGUAACUGCUCGUACCUUGACGGUACCUAACCAGAAAGCCACGGCUAACUACGUGCCAGCAGCCGCGGUAAUACGUAGGUGGCAAGCGUUAUCCGGAAUUAUUGGGCGUAAAGCGCGCGCAGGCGGUUUCUUAAGUCUGAUGUGAAAGCCCACGGCUCAACCGUGGAGGGUCAUUGGAAACUGGGGAACUUGAGUGCAGAAGAGAAAAGCGGAAUUCCACGUGUAGCGGUGAAAUGCGUAGAGAUGUGGAGGAACACCAGUGGCGAAGGCGGCUUUUUGGUCUGUAACUGACGCU